This 465-nucleotide ribosomal RNA is filed under the name uncultured bacterium. Its description in RNAcentral is "partial 16S ribosomal RNA". It matches the Rfam family "Bacterial small subunit ribosomal RNA", at positions 338 to 795 of the family's 1533-position model. The record is from RNAcentral.
CCUACGGGUGGCAGCAGUGGGGAAUAUUGCGCAAUGGGCGAAAGCCUGACGCAGCGACGCCGCGUGAGGGAUGAAGGUCUUCGGAUCGUAAACCUCUGUCAGCAGGGAAGAACGGUCACUGUGCUAAUCAGCAGUGCAUUGACGGUACCUGCAAAGGAAGCACCGGCUAACUCCGUGCCAGCAGCCGAGGUAAUACGGAGGGUGCGAGCGUUAAUCGGAAUUACUGGGCGUAAAGCGCUCGUAGGCGGUAUGGCAAGUCAAGGGUGAAAUCCCCGCGCUCAACGUGGGAACUGCCGUUGAAACGGGCAAAGUGGAGUGUGGGAGAGGAUAGUGGAAUGCCAGGUGUAGGAGUGAAAUCCGUAGAUAUCUGGAGGAACAUCAGUGGCGAAGGCGACUAUCUGGCACAUAACUGACGCUGAGGAGCGAAAGCGUGGGUAGCAAACAGGAUUAGAUACCCCUGUAGUC